GAUCUUUUCUUGCUACUACUCAGUCAAGAAAACUGAAGCCUGGCUUAAACAAGGAAAUACUGAAACAGUAUAAAUCUAUCUUCUUCCAAAGUGGAGCAAGCAUAACGGAGAAAAUACUUGCUCUUUGAAAAUUAGGAGCUCUUCCCUGUUCUCCAACACGCACUGUGUUUACGUUUUAAAAACCAAGACAACUUUCCCUACCCAACUUUUUUCAGCCCUCCUGAUUUUUCAGAGUCCAGAUCCUUCCCUCUACUUCUCCUCUUCAACCUUCCAGUCCAAAUUUAAAGCAGGAGGUAAACUGUUUUCCUCUUUGAUACCACUAUCCAAUCCCUACAAACUUGGAAUGGGACUUCCUAAUACCUUUCUACAGAGAACCAUGAUCUUUAAUAAUCAGUCCAUUGCACUUGUGAACUGGAAUUAGUCUGAUGGUUUAAAUAAAUUUCUUCACUGAAGAAUGUUCAUCGCUUACUAAAUUUAUGAGAUGUUUUACAUCAACCUGUUCAACUUUUCAAGGCUGGGAUUCAGAAAGCAAGACUCAAGAUGAGAAACUCAGCUACUAUACUUCAACUGACCUGAUAUACAGAAAGAACAAUACUUCCUGAAAGUUUUCCAGCAGAGUGCUUUUUCUCUUUAACUUGGCUUUCAGUGUAAUUUACCUGUUAAAAAUAAACUUAACUGAACACUGA
Molecule: long non-coding RNA, 686 nt
Organism: Myiozetetes cayanensis
Lineage: Eukaryota; Metazoa; Chordata; Aves; Passeriformes; Tyrannidae
Exons: 3
Source: RefSeq, a predicted model, not a curated record